UGUCAUUACGUCCCAAAUCUGCUCCUUGCCUAAUACACCCGUUCCCGUAAUAGGUAUUCCCCCAUCCAGCGCCGAUUAGAGAAUCCUUACCCAUUUCUUAUUUUUGUUUCCUUUUUCUGUCCUCAUAGAUUUCUGCUUCUUCUUCCAUCGGUAUUUUUGUUCAUCAUCCCCCCGCUCAGCUAAAUUACUUCUUCCCUGUUGCUCCAUUCAUAUCCUAAAUAGAAAAUAUUGGGAAAAGAAUCCCAUAAAAUUAAAUAAAUUCAAUUUUUAGGUUGUGAUUGAUCGCCAUCGUCAUGGAUUCGUAAGCUUUUCUUUUUUCAUUUUUAUUUAUAUGUUCAAUUAAUUUUCUGAUGUGCGCUUUCAGUCGGCACUCUUCAAUUUCCAUUCAUUCUUAACGGUAGUGCUAUUCGGAAUCUGCACCUGCACUUACUUGAAGAUGCAAUUUCCAGCUAUCCUUGAACAGAGAACUGGGACACCAUGAAAGGCCAUCUUAUAACUGGGAGUAUGAUGUUCACAAGCUCAUGCACCUAGAGGAACCGACUUAAAUUUUCCUUUCACACGAUUGGCCGCUCAGCAGCACUAAUUAUGGGAACUGGCAACAACUUGUUCGCUACAAAAAAACAAUUCAAAGAUGAGCUUACUUGCACUGCAAAUUCACCACUCUUGUUGAACAUGAAGAGGGUGGUCGAGCGACAAAAUUUCUUGCACUCGAUAAUUGCCUUCCAGGGCGCAAGUUCUUGUAGAUUGUUGAUAUUUAAUAUGAUCCAGGACCUUAUGAGGUUCAAUACGAUGAAGAAUGGCUGGCAAUAACACAGAAAUUGAACUGUCUUUCCUUUGACCUUCUGACGUGGAGACUUUGGGUGUGUGUAUACAUGACAUUUUUGUUUUGGCCAUGCCACUCAUCUCGCUCGCUCUCUCUUGGGUGGUUUUUACAAGAACUAGUGAGCCGACAACUGCUGUUCUAAUAUGUUUAUGCAGAAUAUAAUUCUCAAGUUAUAUUUUGAUUUUAGUAAAUUCAUAUAAGAACAUUUUAUUAUUAAGAAUUUUAUGAAAUUAUAUAUCAUUAUUAAAUUAUAUUUAA
Gossypium raimondii (Peruvian cotton) is the source of this 1081-nucleotide long non-coding RNA. RefSeq lists it as uncharacterized. The record is from RefSeq and is a predicted model, not a curated record. Lineage: Eukaryota; Viridiplantae; Streptophyta; Magnoliopsida; Malvales; Malvaceae. The transcript has 4 exons.